GACGAACGCUGGCGGCGUGCUUAACACAUGCAAGUCGAACGGAAAGGCCUGCUUUCCCUUGUGGAUUGCGGGUACUCGAGUGGCGAACGGGUGAGUAACACGUGAGUGAUCUGCCCCCAACUUGGGUAUAAGCCUGGGAAACUGGGUCUAAUUCCCGAUAGGACUGCAGGGUGGUGCCUGUGGUGGAAAACGAUUUUCUAGUGGUUGGGGAUGAGCUCGCGGCCUAUCAGCUUGUUGGUGGGGUAAUGGCCUACCAAGGCGGCGACGGGUAGCCGGCCUGGGAGGGUGGACGGCCACAUUGGGCCUGAGAUACGGCCCAGACUCCUACGGGAGGCAGCAGUGGGGAAUAGUGGACAAUGGGCGGAAGCCUGAUGCAGCGACGCCGCGUGGGGGAUGACGGCCUUCGGGUUGUAAACUCCUUUCGACCGCGAGGAAGCCACCUGGUUGGAAGGGUGGUGACGGUAGUGGUAGAAGAAGCACCGGCUAACUACGUG
Molecule: ribosomal RNA, 494 nt
Filed under: uncultured bacterium
Lineage: Bacteria
Description: partial 16S ribosomal RNA
Rfam family: Bacterial small subunit ribosomal RNA
Source: RNAcentral